AAGAAAAGCAAUCCAGCAAGAAAAUCUGUAUGCUGCCAAUACAUCCAGUGAAAUUACUUUCUUCUGAAACAAUUCUAAACAGCUGGAUAAGUAUUAUACAUCUUAGCAGAUUACUUCUGAAGGGAUUCCAGAACAUCUGUUCAAAAUAAGUGUUGUUGUUUUCACUAGCUGUAGAAAAUGUUUUACAAGCAUACACAGUCAAAGAGUUAUUAAAACAAAGCAGAAAAAAACUCAGCAGUAAAUCAUGAAUGCUAUAUAUGGCAUGUUUCAAAAACCGUUUGGAAGAAGAGCUUCCGAGUCUCACAUUAGCACACUCCUCUUGACCUCAGAAAGAGUUGUCUCAACUUUAAUGAGUGGAUUCUUUAAAGCAGUGAGCUCCUUUAGUGAAUAGGAAGAAGGUAUCAUACUUGAAUUUGGGGAAAACACAUGAAGCCUUCUUCCAGAUCAUUUUUGAAGCCUGCAAAGCCCUAAAAUAUAACAGGAUAAAAAGAAGACUGGCCCAAACUUGAAAUAUUAAAGCUACCCAGACAAAGUUAGUUUUAUAUGGAGCUUACUUUAGGUACACUAGCUUUCCCAACAUGAAGUUUUUCAAAUGGCUCGGCUUUUGACAAUGUAGCUGGGAAGAUUAUGACAGUUGGAGCUCAGCUUAUCCACAGGACAUCAGAUGGAAGAAAGCUUAGACAGAGAGCAAAGUUGUCACUUUAGGCAGUAGAUUUAGGAUGUUGAGAAAGGGCAACAAAAUGAUAAUUAUGUAGUUAAUGCUACUGCCAAGGAAGUAGCUUUUCUGACUCAUGUGCCAAAAUUAGCAUGCAGCUCUUGAUUUGCUGACCUUAACUUAGAUGAUAGCAGCAGUUAUUGCUUCUCUUCCAAUGCCUAAAUGCCUUGAGCCUUCCCUGAGGCACUUGAGGUCAACUUAUGUCCACCAGAAGAUUCAAAAGCUCCUCUGUAUGUGUGGAGUGAUAUCAAAAACAAGCUCCUCCACUCACAAUUGUGUACAAGACAAUUCUGCAAAUAUAAAGGGAUAUGUGAAAAGAGGAGAAGAAGCUCAGGCCAGAAAGCUCAUGCAGGAUGGGAAAACGUUGAGGAAACCAAAGGCAUUUUCUUGUUCACUCUUUGGGAUCCACAUUUAGCAGACCAUAUGUCCAUGAGUAGAACUAGACCCAUUAAGUGCAUCUAAAAGCAGAUGCUUUAAGUCCAAAAGGACAAAUAAGCCAUGCCAAGGACGUUACAUGCUAUGAAAGAAAGGUUGCACCCCUGAGCUUUAUAUCUCAUGACAGGGAGAAAGGAAGAGAAGGAAGGGAAUACGAUUUUUCCUGUAGCAAGCAGGCUAAACAAGAGAAGCUAAGAUCGUUUCCUCCCUUGCAGCUUCUGGCAGUUUCUGGAGUCAUCCAACCCUUGUUGUGGCAAAAUAAGUAAUGAGGACAGUGUUUAUAUCACUUCACUGAUGGCUGGGUGAUGGUAAGAACAUGCUCUUCAGGAGUAACAAGGAAUGGAGCACAAAAAGCAAUGAAGUUUUAUGCCUUUACUUCAGUCUAAGUCAGAAGAAUCACACUGUCAUUAUAACAUGGAAUCUUGAGCUAAAAUGAUUUUGAGGAUGCACAUGCCGCUGAAGUGGAACAGAAUUCUCCAACAGUAUAUUUCUGGAAAGUGCAGUAUAUAUACAUAAAAUACAAAGAUAGCCUUCUUUACGUGUUACUCCUGUAAAGUGGCUCCUUCUGAAAGAAAAGCUGUUGUGCUAGCCCUAACUCUGAGAUUGGAUCCAAAUUUGUUGUACUACAUAAUGAGGGGAAGCUAUUUGGGGGGGGGGGGUAAAGUUGAUGGGGCCCAGAUUUGUGCAGCCCAGCUUCCUUGAAACUACAUGACCCCCCACCCCCGAAACUAGUAGCAGAUCAAGGAGAGGUAAUGUCUAGAGAUCCAAAAUUGCAGCACAGUUGAUGAUGAAAAGUAAGAACCUUGAUGUUUUCAAUGGAAUUAAAAGAUAUAACCUUGAAGGAACAGGUCCAGGAAUCAGCACAGAGGUUCCUG
This is a long non-coding RNA of Python bivittatus (Burmese python), 2025 nucleotides long. RefSeq lists it as uncharacterized. The record is from RefSeq and is a predicted model, not a curated record. Lineage: Eukaryota; Metazoa; Chordata; Lepidosauria; Squamata; Pythonidae.